AUUUUCAUUUGGUAAUGAAAGACAAGAGAUGGAUUAGGAUGAUCUGAAACAUUGUUAAUUGGUGCCUCUUUUUUUAAUAUAUAUUAAAGGCAUCCCAUUUAAGCCAACAUAGUCCGUGUAUUUGAAUUAUGAUUCAAACAUUUUUGUUUCCCCUCUUUUUUCCCCCAAUAAAUCACCUCCUUGUUUUCAACAAUAACCAAAGAUACACCAGUCCUCCAAAAGACAAAGGCACGUGGAGAAAAGGUAUUCCAAGCAUCAUGAGGAAAACACUUGAGAAAAAGCCAACUGCUGUAGGAACCUUUGCAUGACUACUGGAUGACUACUCCUGGCUCAUACAAAUCAGUUCAACCUCUCUCAGCAUCAACCGUCGCCAUCUUCGAGAUUUCGCGAGCCCCAAGGAAAGCGAAAUCUAAGAACCGGACCGUUAAAAUCAACGAGAGCGCUCUUCCCAGACCACUCAGAUCUCACCCUUCUCGAUGGUCGCUUGGAUCCCGGAGAGCCCCUAAAUUAUUGUAAAGAAGACCCCAAACUCGGUUCCCAAGACUGGUGUCUCAAAGACUUUUUAUUAAAGAGGUUGAAAGUCUUUUAUUUCUCACAACAAAUACCUCAUUUGCUCCUAACAAACCUGGGAGGGUAGGUGCUAUUAUCAUCCCCAUUUUACAGUUGAGGAAACUGAGGCAGACCAAGGUUAAGUGACUUAAGAUCACACACCAGGUUUGAAUUCAGGUCUUCAUGACUGCACAUCCAGUGCUCUACCUGCUGUACCACUUAGCUGUUAAUUGGUGAAUUCCUGACUGGGAGCACUACUUCAGGAAGUGUCUGUCCGUCCAGGCUCACUCUCUCCUGGCUCUGCUUCUGUACCCACAGGGUGCUCUCACCUCACUUUUACAGCUCCCAUGUUUGUGCUGUUUUCCCUCAUUACCUUUAGGGCAAGGACUUUUUUUUUUUUGCUUGUAUUUGUAUAACUAGAACUUAGCACAGUGCUUGGGACAUAGUAAAUACUUAAUAAAUGUCAAAUCUAUGUGUCA
RNAcentral lists this long non-coding RNA (1028 nucleotides) under Phascolarctos cinereus (koala). RNAcentral describes it as "lncRNA (ENSPCIG00000031952.1)". The record is from RNAcentral. Lineage: Eukaryota; Metazoa; Chordata; Mammalia; Diprotodontia; Phascolarctidae.